Molecule: unclassified non-coding RNA, 348 nt
Filed under: soil metagenome
Description: partial contains 5.8S ribosomal RNA, internal transcribed spacer 2, and large subunit ribosomal RNA
Rfam family: 5.8S ribosomal RNA (bases 1-120)
Source: RNAcentral
GAUGAAGAACGUAGCGAACUGCGAUAAGUAAUGUGAAUUGCAGAAUUCAGUGAAUCAUCGAGUCUUUGAACGCACAUUGCGCCCCCUGGCAUUCCGGGGGGCAUGCCUGUCCGAGCGUCAUUGCUGCCCUUCAAGCCCGGCUUGUGUGUUGGGUCGUCGUCCCCCCCGGGGGACGGGCCCGAAAGGCAGCGGCGGCACCGCGUCCGGUCCUCGAGCGUAUGGGGCUUUGUCACCCGCUCGAUUAGGGCCGGCCGGGCGCCAGCCGGCGUCUCCAACCUUCUAUUUUACCAGGUUGACCUCGGAUCAGGUAGGGAUACCCGCUGAACUUAAGCAUAUCAAUAGCGGAGA